UACGUAGGGCGCAAGCGUUAUCCGGAAUUACUGGGCGUAAAGGGCGCGUAGGCGGCCUUCUAAGUCGAACGUGAAAUCCCUGGGCUUAACCCAGGAACUGCGUCCGAUACUGGAAGGCUUGAAUCCGGGAGAGGGAUGCGGAAUUCCAGGUGUAGCGGUGAAAUGCGUAGAUAUCUGGAGGAACACCGGUGGCGAAGGCGGCAUCCUGGACCGGCAUUGACGCUGAGGCGCGAAAGCCAGGGGAGCAAACGGG
Molecule: ribosomal RNA, 253 nt
Filed under: uncultured bacterium
Lineage: Bacteria
Description: partial 16S ribosomal RNA
Rfam family: Bacterial small subunit ribosomal RNA
Source: RNAcentral